GGGUGCUGCCUGGAGUCUCCUGCGUGUCUCUGCUCCUUUGAUGUCAGCAUCGGGGAGAAAGGUGGUAAAGAACACUUGUUUCAGUUUGAGGUGCUCGGCAGCCACGCACUGAAGGACGGUUUUUAAUUGUAGGGUGGGGACUGAGAAUGGUGCAUACUAACUGCUGAAGAACACGGUGAAUGGAGUUAUGGUAAUUGCACGACUGGCAUGAAGGGGUGAGAGAAGUUUCAGAUUGGUCGAUUAAAAUACUUGGGAGGCUGCAUUCUGAUAAUUCUCAGGAGGAAGGAUGUAUAGGAGAGACCAGAGUUUUUAAGGUGUGACCUCUGAACCACCUACAUCAGAGCCGACCGCCUCUCGUGUCUGGGAGCCAGCUUCUGAGUGUUGUCAAGGUGUUUGAGGAGCCAGUCUGUCUCCGUCAUCUGUUCCUGCCUUACUUAGAUGGAAAAUAAUGAAAUCUGUGUAGGAAGGGAGGGUGAGUAGAGGGAUGGCCUGGGUUGACUGAACAAUAAAAUAGUGAUGUUAAU
This 524-nucleotide small RNA is filed under the name Pongo abelii (Sumatran orangutan). Its description in RNAcentral is "processed transcript". The record is from RNAcentral. Lineage: Eukaryota; Metazoa; Chordata; Mammalia; Primates; Hominidae.